RNAcentral lists this long non-coding RNA (697 nucleotides) under Mytilus galloprovincialis (Mediterranean mussel). Lineage: Eukaryota; Metazoa; Mollusca; Bivalvia; Mytilida; Mytilidae. The record is from RNAcentral.
AAAAUCUUCAAUUAACUAUUUUGUAAAAUUCUUCUAUCAUUACAUGAUUUCUUAAUUCAGUACAUGGUCUACACUAUUGUAUUAAAUAAUUAUUUUAUUUUCCGUUGUUAUUCUUUAUAAUUUUGCAAACUUUUUUGUUCAAUUUUGACAUUCGCCAGUAUCCGUUAUUCUGCAACUCCCUUUGAGAUCUAAUUAUAUGUGACAAUAAAUUAAUGUGCUCUCUGAAUUUCGCUUUCUCUCAAGACAUUGCACGGUCUUUGUAGUACAGUGUAUUUUCCAGAAAAUAUAUCGUGUAAAAACAUUUCCAAGGAAACCAAACAUACGGAGGUUGAGAUAUGACAUGAAAACAGAUGUACAUAUUUAUGUUUAAUAUGCCUACAAAAAUACCCCCCCCCCCCCCCCCAAAAAAAAAAACAAGAAAAAAAAACAAUCGCACACAGGCUGAGACAUGACUGGAAAUAUUGUGUUUCUGUUAUUUAGUCCAUCAACACAAAAAAGGGGGACCUUUAACGGGACUCCGGGAUCGGGUGUUUUUAAGCACGGGAUUUUGGGAUUGAUCUGACAUUAUCCAAAGCGCCACCACGCUCUAAGUAACUGAAUGCAUUAUUAGUUUUGGCAUACAAUUUUGGGGAGCAUCCAGUUACUUAGAGUGUGCGAACCCAAAAAGUCGGGUGGGAGGGAGGGAGGGGAAAACCGG